AACCCUCCAUCGCCCACUCUUCCAGCAUAGCCAUAUCCGCUGCGCCCUCAGAGGCAACACCCACUACCCUUUCCCCUCAGCCGUCGCCUCGACUUGCUCAGUCUUCACCCAGACUUUCACACCGAGCAGCCGUCAAAGUGCACUCUACACGACAGCAGCCCUCCAGCAAGAACAGCUAACCUUGGUGAAGGCCGGAUAGGUGAUCAUGCAUCUGGGGUCUAUGAAAGCGGAAAAUGUCAUAGUGUUCAUUUGGGCUAAUGGCAGGACUUCCAAGUGCCAAACACCACAAUAUAAAUGACUGGGGAAGGGGACGGUAUAUGAUAUUUAAAUACAGCACAAGCCAUAAAUCACCUAAAGUAUCUAGUUUCAAUUUUAAGUCAUUUUAAGAGUAGAGUGUUUGUGUCUUCCUAUACUAUACAGUUUGUCAAAAAGUGUCUUCUUAGCUUUUAAAAAUGUCAGAGGUUAUUUUCGGACUCCUUAUAGGGUGGUUAGUAAGUGUGACUGGAUGUUUAAGUGUGUUUCCAAGAGCAAAUGAAUGAUAAUUACGUGAUCAUCAGGAUUUAUAUAAUCAAGUAUUAUAUCUAUUUUUGUUCAGAAAAACAAAUAUUUAGUGGCACAGAUUAUAUUUUUGUCAUCUGUUAUUUUGAAGAACACCUUCAAUAAGCAUUACGUCUGCUCUAUGUAUUAUUGAAGACUGAUAUCAUGAUGCAAAGAUGCACAUUUUAUUAAAUGCUGUGACAAAUUUGUAUGCAUAGUGGAACAUGAAGACCUACGGUCCAAACAUUUUCUUUAUUUUAUUAUUUUGUGAAAUUGUUUAUAAAAAAGCUUUAUUUGAUGGAACA
Molecule: non-coding RNA, 842 nt
Organism: Danio rerio (zebrafish)
Lineage: Eukaryota; Metazoa; Chordata; Actinopteri; Cypriniformes; Danionidae
Source: RefSeq, a predicted model, not a curated record